AUUGAACGCUGGCGGCAUGCUUUACACAUGCAAGUCGAACGGCAGCACGGGGGCAACCCUGGUGGCGAGUGGCGAACGGGUGAGUAAUGCAUCGGAACGUACCCAGUCGUGGGGGAUAACGCAGCGAAAGUUGUGCUAAUACCGCAUACGACCUGAGGGUGAAAGCGGGGGACCGUAAGGCCUCGCGCGAUUGGAGCGGCCGAUGUCUGAUUAGCUAGUUGGUGGGGUAAAGGCCCACCAAGGCGACGAUCAGUAGCGGGUCUGAGAGGAUGAUCCGCCACACUGGGACUGAGACACGGCCCAGACUCCUACGGGAGGCAGCAGUGGGGAAUUUUGGGACAAUGGGGGCAACCCUGAUCCAGCCAUGCCGCGUGCGGGAAGAAGGCCU
Molecule: ribosomal RNA, 388 nt
Filed under: uncultured bacterium
Lineage: Bacteria
Description: bacterial SSU rRNA
Rfam family: Bacterial small subunit ribosomal RNA
Source: RNAcentral